GGGGAUUUAGCUCAGUGGUAGAGCGCUUGCCUAGCAAGCGCAAGGGCGCAAGGCCCUGGGUUCGGUCCCCAGCUCCG
Molecule: transfer RNA, 77 nt
Filed under: Rattus norvegicus (Norway rat)
Lineage: Eukaryota; Metazoa; Chordata; Mammalia; Rodentia; Muridae
Rfam family: tRNA
About the family: Transfer RNA (tRNA) molecules are approximately 80 nucleotides in length. Their secondary structure includes four short double-helical elements and three loops (D, anti-codon, and T loops). Further hydrogen bonds mediate the characteristic L-shaped molecular structure. tRNAs have two regions of fundamental functional importance: the anti-codon, which is responsible for specific mRNA codon recognition, and the 3' end, to which the tRNAs corresponding amino acid is attached (by aminoacyl-tRNA synthetases). tRNAs cope with the degeneracy of the genetic code in two manners: having more than one tRNA (with a specific anti-codon) for a particular amino acid; and 'wobble' base-pairing, i.e. permitting non-standard base-pairing at the 3rd anti-codon position.
Source: Rfam by way of RNAcentral